GGUUGCGAUCAUACCAGCACUAACGCACCGGAUCCCAUCAGAACUCCGCAGUUAAGCGUGCUUGGGCGAGAGUUGUACUAGGAUGGGUGACCCCCUGGGAAGUCCUCGUGUUGCAACCC
RNAcentral lists this ribosomal RNA (119 nucleotides) under Helianthus annuus (common sunflower). The record is from RNAcentral. Lineage: Eukaryota; Viridiplantae; Streptophyta; Magnoliopsida; Asterales; Asteraceae.